AGUGAACGCUGGCGGUAGGCCUAACACAUGCAAGUCGAACGGCAGCACAGUAAGAGCUUGCUCUUACGGGUGGCGAGUGGCGGACGGGUGAGGAAUACAUCCGAAUCUACUUUUUCGUGGGGGAUAACGUAGGGAAACUUACGCUAAUACCGCAUACGACCUACGGGUGAAAGCAGGGGAUCUUCGGACCUUGCGCGAUUGAAUGAGCCGAUGUCGGAUUAGCUAGUUGGCGGGGUAAAGGCCCACCAAGGCGACGAUCCGUAGCUGGUCUGAGAGGAUGGUCAGCCACACUGGAACUGAGACACGGUCCAGACGCCUACGGGGGGCAGCAGUGGGGAAUAUUGGACAAUGGGCGCAAGCCUGAUCCAGCCAUACCGCGUGGGUGAAGAAGGCGUUCGGGUUGUAAAGCCCUUUUGUUGGGAAAGAAAAGCAGCAGGUUAAUACCCCGCUGUUCUGACGGUACCCAAAGAAUAAGCACCGGCUAACUUCGUG
RNAcentral lists this ribosomal RNA (492 nucleotides) under uncultured bacterium. RNAcentral's name for it is "partial 16S ribosomal RNA". It matches the Rfam family "Bacterial small subunit ribosomal RNA", at positions 29 to 507 of the family's 1533-position model. The record is from RNAcentral.